UGAAGACCUUACCGGAUUAGCUGAGAGGUGGUGCAUGGCCGUCGUCAGUUCGUACUGUGAAGCAUCCUGUUAAGUCAGGCAACGAGCGAGACCCACGUCCACAGUUGCCAGCAUACCCUCCGGGGUGAUGGGUACACUGUGGAGACCGCCGCUGCUAAAGCGGAGGAAGGAAUGGGCAACGGUAGGUCAGUAUGCCCCGAAUCUCCCGGGCUACACGCGGGCUACAAUGGUUGGUACAAUGGGCAUCUACCCCGAAAGGGGAAGGAAAUCUCUUAAAGCCAAUCGUAGUUCGGAUUGAGGGCUGCAACUCGCCCUCAUGAAGCUGGAAUCCGUAGUAAUCGCGUUUCAACAGAACGCGGUGAAUACGUCCCCGCGUCCUU
RNAcentral lists this ribosomal RNA (380 nucleotides) under uncultured Methanosaeta sp. Its description in RNAcentral is "bacterial SSU rRNA". It matches the Rfam family "Archaeal small subunit ribosomal RNA", at positions 960 to 1338 of the family's 1478-position model. Lineage: Archaea; Methanobacteriati; Methanobacteriota; Methanomicrobia; Methanotrichales; Methanotrichaceae. The record is from RNAcentral.